Gossypium hirsutum (cotton) is the source of this 107-nucleotide non-coding RNA. Lineage: Eukaryota; Viridiplantae; Streptophyta; Magnoliopsida; Malvales; Malvaceae. The record is from Rfam.
AACCCAUGGUGAGGGCACCUUCUCAGUAAGUCCUUGUAUCUCUUCCAUGCAUCAUAAAGAGUUUCUAAGUUCAUCUGCACAAACAAAAAGAUAUCAUUGCGUAAUUU